Long non-coding RNA from Drosophila willistoni, 1160 nucleotides. RefSeq lists it as uncharacterized. Lineage: Eukaryota; Metazoa; Arthropoda; Insecta; Diptera; Drosophilidae. The transcript is spliced from 2 exons. The record is from RefSeq and is a predicted model, not a curated record.
UUUUUUAUUAUUAAGUUUCACCUUGCAGCUUUAAACAUUUUUUAGCAAUUCAUAAUUCUAGACUCUUAAAAACAAAAACAAAAUUGUCGGCAAAUGAUCCGACCGCACGUCCGCUCAGUUUGAAAUCAAAACACCUUCAACCACCCCCGUACAACGGUAGUUCGCAACGAGGCAGAUGGAACCAAAUCGAACUCGUAGCGGAAACACAAAGCCGACUAACUUAUACUCUUCACAUACUUUUUGUUUCAGGGAUUAUUAAAGGUUAUUUUUGGUUAAGCGGCUUUUGAAUUUUAGACCGAUGCUUAGACCGAUGGUAGAGUGAGUGAGUGAGGCGCCAACACAACAUUCUUGAGGUCACCUUGCUGCCAACAAUGCCAACAAUGGAUCCAGGAUUGCGAUUGCCAGUCUUGAUUCUGUGAAAUGGUUGGAAAUAAGAGAAAUAUUAGAAAUUAUUUACAUUUUCAUAAUGGAAUUCAUUCCAUUCUUACCUGGAAUGGACCAAUAGAGGAUCCUUUUUGUAGAGCUUCAAUUCGCCAUGCAUAUGGGAAUUAGAUUUACGCAAAUCCUCAAUAUGAUUGUAAAUUGCUUCGGUGACGUUCAGAUACUCGUCCAAAUUGACUGGCACCACGGGCACACCAGGUAACAACGGGAGAACGUAGGCCAUAGCCGAAUUAUCUUGAUUGGAGCUCAAAUAGACUUCACCAAACAAAGGCACACAUCUCGAGACACCACGGUGCACCGUUAUAAAGGCAUCACAGAAUUGAUAUUGUUGUUCAGACAAAUUCCUUGGACGCCAACAUAACUGCCAUCAACUUGAUCCCAAGCGCACGUAUAGCUCUUGAUCUUGAGCCAAGUUGUGGGCGCACUCGUUGGAUUACUCUUCCAAACAAAUAGUUGGAAUCCUUUGUUACGACAUUGGGAGUAGCAACAAGUUCCUUGAAAGUUCCUGUAGAAAUCAGAAAACUUGUCAUUUGGACCCUUGCCACCAUCAGCUCGUCGGCUCCAUCGUUUAGUGCCACAUUCUUCCUCUACUCCACUAUAUCGACAACAUCAACCAAUUGCUUACGUCAUUGAUAUUACGCUUAUAUGAUAAUGUGACUUUGAUUCUUGGGCUGCUGAUAAAAAGAUAAAUGGAAUAUUACAUUUUAAAAACACUUUAA